UAACGCGUGAGGAACCUGCCUCAAAGAGGGGGACAACAGUUGGAAACGACUGCUAAUACCGCAUAAGCCCACGGCUCGGCAUCGAGCAGAGGGAAAAGGAGUGAUCCGCUUUGAGAUGGCCUCGCGUCCGAUUAGCUAGUUGAUGAGGUAACGGCCCACCAAGGCGACGAUCGGUAGCCGGACUGAGAGGUUGAACGGCCACAUUGGGACUGAGACACGGCCCAG
RNAcentral lists this ribosomal RNA (225 nucleotides) under uncultured bacterium. Its description in RNAcentral is "partial 16S ribosomal RNA". It matches the Rfam family "Bacterial small subunit ribosomal RNA", at positions 111 to 334 of the family's 1533-position model. The record is from RNAcentral.